GGUUCUCUCCGAAAUAGCUUUAGGGCUAGCCUCAAGUGAUGAUUAUUGGAGGUAGAGCACUGUUUGGACGAGGGGCCCCUCUCGGGUUACCGAAUUCAGACAAACUCCGAAUGCCAAUUAAUUUAACUUGGGAGUCAGAACAUGGGUGAUAAGGUCCGUGUUCGAAAGGGAAACAGCCCAGACCACCAGCUAAGGUCCCAAAAUAUAUGUUAAGUGGAAAAGGAUGUGGCGUUGCCCAGACAACUAGGAUGUUGGCUUAGAAGCAGCCAUCAUUUAAAGAGUGCGUAAUAGCUCACUAGUCGAGUGACACUGCGCCGAAAAUGUACCGGGGCUAAACAUAUUACCGAAGCUGUGGAUUGUCCUUUGGACAAUGGUAGGAGAGCGUUCUAAGGGCGUUGAAGCAUGAUCGUAAGGACAUGUGGAGCGCUUAGAAGUGAGAAUGCCGGUGUGAGUAGCGAAAGACGGGUGAGAAUCCCGUCCACCGAUUGACUAAGGUUUCCAGAGGAAGGCUCGUCCGCUCUGGGUUAGUCGGGUCCUAAGCUGAGGCCGACAGGCGUAGGCGAUGGAUAACAGGUUGAUAUUCCUGUACCACCUAUAAUCGUUUUAAUCGAUGGGGGGGACGCAGUAGGAUAGGCGAAGCGUGCGAUUGGAUUGCACGUCUAAGCAGUAAGGCUGAGUAUUAGGCAAAUCCGGUACUCGUUAAGGCUGAGCUGUGAUGGGGAGAAGACAUUGUGUCUUCGAGUCGUUGAUUUCACACUGCCGAGAAAAGCCUCUAGAUAGAAAAUAGGUGCCCGUACCGCAAACCGACACAGGUAGUCAAGAUGAGAAUUCUAAGGUGAGCGAGCGAACUCUCGUUAAGGAACUCGGCAAAAUGACCCCGUAAC
RNAcentral lists this ribosomal RNA (884 nucleotides) under Staphylococcus aureus. Its description in RNAcentral is "partial 23S ribosomal RNA". It matches the Rfam family "Bacterial large subunit ribosomal RNA", at positions 851 to 1734 of the family's 2925-position model. Lineage: Bacteria; Bacillati; Bacillota; Bacilli; Caryophanales; Staphylococcaceae. The record is from RNAcentral.